This 454-nucleotide ribosomal RNA is filed under the name uncultured Sphingobacterium sp. RNAcentral's name for it is "bacterial SSU rRNA". It matches the Rfam family "Bacterial small subunit ribosomal RNA", at positions 341 to 792 of the family's 1533-position model. The record is from RNAcentral. Lineage: Bacteria; Pseudomonadati; Bacteroidota; Sphingobacteriia; Sphingobacteriales; Sphingobacteriaceae.
ACGGGAGGCAGCAGUAAGGAAUAUUGGUCAAUGGAGGGAACUCUGAACCAGCCAUGCCGCGUGCAGGAUGACUGCCCUAUGGGUUGUAAACUGCUUUUGUCCAGGAAUAACCACCUCUACGUGUAGAGGCUUGAAUGUACUGGAAGAAUAAGGAUCGGCUAACUCCGUGCCAGCAGCCGCGGUAAUACGGAGGAUCCGAGCGUUAUCCGGAUUUAUUGGGUUUAAAGGGUGCGUAGGCGGCCUAUUAAGUCAGGGGUGAAAGACGGCAGCUUAACUGUCGCAGUGCCUUUGAUACUGAUAGGCUUGAAUGUGGUUGAAGAUGGCGGAAUGAGACAAGUAGCGGUGAAAUGCAUAGAUAUGUCUCAGAACUCCGAUUGCGAAGGCAGCUGUCUAAGUCAUUAUUGACGCUGAUGCACGAAAGCGUGGGGAUCGAACAGGAUUAGAUACCCUGGUA